This 492-nucleotide ribosomal RNA is filed under the name uncultured bacterium. RNAcentral describes it as "partial 16S ribosomal RNA". It matches the Rfam family "Bacterial small subunit ribosomal RNA", at positions 29 to 507 of the family's 1533-position model. The record is from RNAcentral.
AGUGAACGCUGGCGGUAGGCCUAACACAUGCAAGUCGAACGGCAGCACAGUAAGAGCUUGCUCUUACGGGUGGCGAGUGGCGGACGGGUGAGGAAUACAUCGGAAUCUACUUUUUCGUGGGGGAUAACGUAGGGAAACUUACGCUAAUACCGCAUACGACCUACGGGUGAAAGCAGGGGAUCUUCGGACCUUGCGCGAUUGAAUGAGCCGAUGUCGGAUUAGCUAGUUGGCGGGGUAAAGGCCCACCAAGGCGACGAUCCGUAGCUGGUCUGAGAGGAUGAUCGGCCACACUGGAACUGAGACACGGUCCAGGCUCCUACGGGAGGCAGCAGUGGGGAAUAUUGGACAAUAGGCGCAAGCCUGAUCCAGCCAUACCGCGUGGGUGAAGAAGGCCUUCGGGUUGUAAAGCCCUUUUGUUGGGAAAGAAAAGCAGCAGGUUAAUACCCCGCUGUUCUGACGGUACCCAAAGAAUAAGCACCGGCUAACUUCGUG